RNAcentral lists this ribosomal RNA (408 nucleotides) under uncultured bacterium. RNAcentral's name for it is "bacterial SSU rRNA". It matches the Rfam family "Bacterial small subunit ribosomal RNA", at positions 517 to 929 of the family's 1533-position model. The record is from RNAcentral.
GCGGUAAUACGGAGGAUGCGAGCGUAAUCCGGAAUCAUUGGGUUUAAAGGGUCUGUAGGCGGGCUAGUAAGUCAGAGGUGAAAGCGCUUAGCUCAACUAAGCAACUGCCUCUGAAACUGUUGGUCUUGAAUGGUUGUGAAGUAGUUGGAAUGUGUAGUGUAGCGGUGAAAUGCUUAGAUAUUACACAGAACACCGAUAGCGAAGGCAUAUUACUAACAAUUAAUUGACGCUGAUGGACAAAAGCGUGGGGAGCGAACAGGAUUAGAUACCCUGGUAGUCCACGCUGUAAACGAUGGAUACUAGCUGUUUGGAGCGAUCUGAGUGGCUAAGCGAAAGUGAUAAGUAUCCCACCUGGGGAGUACGUUCGCAAGAAUGAAACUCAAAGGAAUUGACGGGGGCCCGCACAAG